AUCCUGGGUUGUACGCCAGUUGGUUAUGUCCUCGAGCCGAUACGUACUACCUAGGGAGACACAGGGCGCGCGGUGCGCAGGUCCGAGCACGGAAAGCCUAAAGCGCGCCCGCGUUUCCCGCCUUGAACCAUUGGGUUCAAGGGCCAAACCGACAGCGGCAACCUGGGGCA
Molecule: non-coding RNA, 170 nt
Filed under: marine eukaryotic metagenome
Description: 6S / SsrS RNA
Rfam family: 6S / SsrS RNA
About the family: E. coli 6S RNA was the first non coding RNA to be sequenced, but its function was unknown until recently. It consists of 184 nucleotides that fold into an extended hairpin structure with a large single-stranded internal bulge. The 6S RNA specifically associates with RNA polymerase holoenzyme containing the sigma70 specificity factor.
Source: RNAcentral